UAAAACUAGGAGUUACUAUCGCAAGGAAAAUGCUGCCGAUAUGUACAUGUAGGAUGUGCUACAAAAAGAGCGUUUUUCACUGUAUGUAUGAUUUAUUGUCUUACACAUCGUCGUUCCUCAGUCACCUUCGUACAAUUAUAUCUUACAUCUAAUCUUAUGAAAAGUAUCUUUUAAUAUACUAAUAACAGUGCGACUUUGAUAGUUGACACAUAAUACAAAUGAUAAAAUGUGAAUAUUAUUGAAUGAUUUUGUCACUCGUACAACUUUUAAUUUGGCUAUUCAAACAAUUGAUUUAAAAUAGUUGAAUUUAUACUUGAUGGGAUGUUAUUGCUUAUUGGGAUGUUGAAAUUAUGUUUGUUUUAAAUACAUUUAAUUGAUAUUCCAUAAAUUCAUUUUGUAUGAUUUCAUUGACCUUGACAUUGUUCAAAAUCAUUUUGUAUUGUAUUGAAACUGUAUGUCUAUGACCUAUGUUAUGUACUAUAUUAACCCAUUGAGUCGCAUUGCACCCUGAUGCACCCUACUUUGAACAGUAUUUUACUCUGUCUAACGCCAGACGAUUUUACUCGUCAAGGGGAGAGUGCUGGCGCUUAAUGGGUUAACUGAUCUAUCUGCCCAUGUGUCUAGUUAACCCAUUGGGUCGCAUUGCACCCUGAUGCACCCUACUUUGAACAGUAUUUUACUCUGUCUAACGCCAGACGAUUUUACUUGUCAAGGGGAGAGUGCUGGCGCUUAAUUGGUUAACUGAUCUAUCUGCCCAUGUGUCUAGUUAAC
Paramuricea clavata is the source of this 771-nucleotide non-coding RNA. Lineage: Eukaryota; Metazoa; Cnidaria; Anthozoa; Malacalcyonacea; Plexauridae. The record is from the annotation of a GenBank genome assembly.